Molecule: ribosomal RNA, 460 nt
Filed under: uncultured bacterium
Lineage: Bacteria
Description: partial 16S ribosomal RNA
Rfam family: Bacterial small subunit ribosomal RNA
Source: RNAcentral
CCUACGGGUGGCAGCAGUGAGGAAUAUUGGUCAAUGGGCGUAAGCCUGAACCAGCCAAGUCGCGUGAGGGAUGAAGGUUCUAUGGAUCGUAAACCUCUUUUGUAAGGGAGUAAAGUGUGGGACGUGUCCUAUUUUGUAUGUACCUUAUGAAUAAGGAUCGGCUAACUCCGUGCCAGCAGCCGCGGUAAUACGGAGGAUCCGAGCGUUAUCCGGAUUUAUUGGGUUUAAAGGGUGCGUAGGCGGCCUGUUAAGUCAGCGGUGAAAGUCUGUGGCUCAACCAUAGAAUUGCCGUUGAAACUGGGGGGCUUGAGUAUGUUUGAGGUAGGCGGAAUGCGUGGUGUAGCGGUGAAAUGCUUAGAUAUCACGCAGAACACCGAUUGCGAAGGCAGCCUGCCAAGCCAUGACUGACGCUGAGGCACGAAAGCGUGGGGAGCAAACAGGAUUAGAUACCCGGGUAGUC